Molecule: ribosomal RNA, 407 nt
Filed under: uncultured prokaryote
Also listed under: 1 other name
Description: bacterial SSU rRNA
Rfam family: Bacterial small subunit ribosomal RNA
Source: RNAcentral
UGGGGAAUCUUCCGCAAUGGGCGAAAGCCUGACGGAGCAACGCCGCGUGAGUGAUGAAGGCCUUUGGGUCGUAAAGCUCUGUCAUCAGGGAAGAAACAAAUGACGGUACCUGAUGAGGAAGCCCCGGCUAACUACGUGCCAGCAGCCGCGGUAAAACGUAGGGGGCGAGCGUUGUCCGGAAUUACUGGGCGUAAAGGGCGUGUAGGCGGCUCGUGAAGUCAGGAGUGAAAACCCGGAGCUUAACUCCGGGACUGCUUUUGAAACCAACGGGCUUGAGUACAGGAGAGGGAAGUGGAAUUCCCAGUGUAGCGGUGAAAUGCGUAGAUAUUGGGAGGAACACCAGUGGCGAAAGCGGCUUCCUGGCCUGAAACUGACGCUGAGGCGCGAAAGCGUGGGGAGCAAACAGG